This 362-nucleotide unclassified non-coding RNA is filed under the name uncultured bacterium. RNAcentral describes it as "contains 16S-23S intergenic spacer region". The record is from RNAcentral.
UCCCCGUUACCGGGGCAGUCUAGCUAGAAAAAUCCAACUAACUAUAAGGGUUGCGCUCGUUGAUGGACUUAACCAAACAUCUCACGACACGAGCUGACGACGGCCAUGCAACACCUGUCUCUACGGCCCGAAGGCACUCUCUCCUUUCGGUGAGAUUAGUAGGAUGUCAAACCUUGGUAAGGUUCUUCGCUUAUCGUCGAAUUAAACAACACGCUCCACCGCUUGUGCGGGUCCCCGUCAAUUCCUUUAUGUUUUAAGCUUGCGCUCGUACUCCACAGGCGGGAUGCUUAACGCGUUAGCUUCGCUACUACCAGGGUCGAUACUGAUAACAGCUAGCAUCCAUAGUUUACGGCGUGGACUAC